AUGACUCAGAGCCUCACUAAGGCCCGAUGCCUUCACUGACUUCGGCCCUCAGGGUUCCCCUAACCCCCUAACUGGCAGGCCCGCCCUACCGUGCACCUCUAGGCAUCUCUGCUUAAUGGGCCCUGCUCCACCGGAAUCCCUUUGUGGAGACUGAGGUCUGUGAGGCAAGGUUAGAUAUUUGGGAACGAGGUUAUGUAGCUUUCUUUCUCUUGACCAACUUUGUUUUUGCAGCAGCUGAGAAGGAGAAGGAAAUGGACCCUUUUCAUUAUGAUUACCAGACCCUGAGGAUUGGGGGACUGGUGUUCGCUGUGGUCCUCUUCUCGGUUGGGAUCCUCCUUAUCUUAAGUCGCAGGUGCAAGUGCAGUUUCAAUCAGAAGCCCCGGGCCCCAGGAGAUGAGGAAGCCCAGGUGGAGAACCUCAUCACCGCCAAUGCAACAGAGCCCCAGAAAGCAGAGAACUAAAGUGCAGCCAUCGGGUGGAAGCCUCUGGAACCUGAAGGCCGCUGCUUGAACCUUUGGAUGCAAAUGUCGAUGCUUAAGAAAACCGGCCACUUCAGCAACAACCCUUUCCCCAGGAGAAGCCAAGAACUUGUGCGUCCCCCACCCUAUCCCCUCUAACACCAUUCCUCCACCUGAUGAUGCAACUGACACUUGCCUCCCCACUGCAGCCUGCGGUCCUGCCCACCUCCUGUGAUGUGUCUGUGUGUGUGUGUGUGUGUGAGUGUGUGUGUUUGCUAACUGUGGUCUUUGUGGCUACUUGUU
RNAcentral lists this small RNA (761 nucleotides) under Pongo abelii (Sumatran orangutan). RNAcentral describes it as "processed transcript". Lineage: Eukaryota; Metazoa; Chordata; Mammalia; Primates; Hominidae. The record is from RNAcentral.